RNAcentral lists this unclassified non-coding RNA (340 nucleotides) under Hevea brasiliensis (rubber tree). The record is from RNAcentral. Lineage: Eukaryota; Viridiplantae; Streptophyta; Magnoliopsida; Malpighiales; Euphorbiaceae.
UUCCUCUCCCCUGCUUACUUUUAGGUUUGAAUUAUGCUCAAAAGAGUGUGUGGUAGGUGCUGUGCUGCAGGUCUGAUUAGGAGAAUUUAUAUGGGUUGUUAUAUGUUUUUCAAAAAGUAAUGUAUUUGAAGGGCAAUAGAUCUUUAUGCUGUUAGUUAUAGGCUAAAAUUACAUCCUAAGGUAGUUGAUUAGAAUUAAUAUUGUAUAAUUCCAAAUUACAUCCUAAAAUGCAAACUAGUUGUCUCAAGUUUGGAUUUGUAAUUGAAUUUCAUAAAAUUUAUGAAACUCAUUUGUACCAAAAUCUUAUAUGUACAUAGAAAAAAUAACAUGUAAACUGAAG